RNAcentral lists this transfer-messenger RNA (186 nucleotides) under bacterium. RNAcentral describes it as "partial transfer-messenger RNA". It matches the Rfam family "transfer-messenger RNA", at positions 1 to 185 of the family's 374-position model. From Rfam's summary of the family: Bacterial tmRNA, also known as 10Sa RNA or SsrA, is named for its dual tRNA and mRNA-like properties. The record is from RNAcentral.
GGGGACGAAAGGAUUCGACAGGGGGCUAGGUAGCCGGAUAGCAGGCCGAGGUUGGCUGUCACCCUCGUAAAUCAGGCGGCCGAAAAUAACUGGCAAUCGCCAACUCGCUCUCGCCGCUUAAGUAGCGACGACGUUCCCGGCGACCCUCGCCCUGGUUGCCGAGCCCGGCCCCGAGCGCGGCCGCGA